GGAAAAGAAACUAACAAGGAUUCCCCUAGUAACGGCGAGUGAAGCGGGAUGAGCUCAAAUUUAAAAUCUUGCAGCCUCAGGUUGUACGAGUUGUAGUCUAGAGAAUCGUUUUCCGCGUUGGCCUGUGUACAAGUCCCUUGGAACAGGGCGUCAUAGAGGGUGAGAAUCCCGUCCUUGACACAGACUACCAAUGCUUUGUGAUGCGAUCUCGAAGAGUCGAGUUGUUUGGGAAUGCAGCUCAAAAUGGGUGGUAAAUUCCAUCUAAAGCUAAAUAUUGGCGAGAGACCGAUAGCGAACAAGUACCGUGAGGGAAAGAUGAAAAGCACUUUGGAAAGAGAGUUAAACAGUACGUGAAAUUGUUAAAAGGGAAACGAUUGAAGUCAGUCAUGCUCUCCGAGACUCAGCCGAUUCUGUCGGUGUACUUCUCGGUUGGCAGGCCAGCAUCAGUUUCGAUCUGUGGAAAAGGUUGGAGAGAAUGUGGCAUCUUCGGAUGUGUUAUAGCUCUCCUUCGAAUACAUAGAGCGGGACUGAGGAACGCAGCGUGCCCUUUAUUGGGUUGGCCUUUGGGUACAUACACGCUUAGGAUGCUGGCAUAAUGGCUUUAAACGACCCGUCUUA
RNAcentral lists this ribosomal RNA (618 nucleotides) under Mrakia sp. RNAcentral describes it as "partial large subunit ribosomal RNA". It matches the Rfam family "Eukaryotic large subunit ribosomal RNA", at positions 55 to 656 of the family's 3401-position model. The record is from RNAcentral. Lineage: Eukaryota; Fungi; Basidiomycota; Tremellomycetes; Cystofilobasidiales; Mrakiaceae.